Molecule: small RNA, 125 nt
Filed under: Marmota monax (woodchuck)
Lineage: Eukaryota; Metazoa; Chordata; Mammalia; Rodentia; Sciuridae
Source: RNAcentral
GCCGGGUGUGGUGGCGCAUUCCUGUAAUCCCAGGGACACCAGAGGCUGAGACAGGAGGAUCUCGAGUUCAAAGCUAGCUUCAGCAAUGGUGAUGCACUAAGCAACUCAGUGAGACCCUGUCGCUA